AACGUAGGUUCCGAGCGUUAUCCGGAUUUACUGGGCGUAAAGCGUGUUCAGGCGGCUCAGCAAGUCGGGCAUGAAAUCUCUCGGCUCAACCGGGAGGGGCUGUCCGAAACUGCUGGGCUUGAGGGCAGUAGAGGGUGGUGGAAUUCCGGGUGUAGUGGUGAAAUGCGUAGAUAUCCGGAGGAACACCAGUGGCGAAAGCGGCCACCUGGACUGUACCUGACGCUCAAACACGAAAGCUAGGGGAGCGAACGGG
This 253-nucleotide ribosomal RNA is filed under the name uncultured bacterium. RNAcentral's name for it is "partial 16S ribosomal RNA". It matches the Rfam family "Bacterial small subunit ribosomal RNA", at positions 524 to 776 of the family's 1533-position model. The record is from RNAcentral.